AUUAUCACUAAUCAAGCCUGGCUUGCUGUUGGACUUCUUGUCGUUAAAAGACAGGUCCCAAAGAUAAUGACGGUGUUAUUAGAACCCUAGAUGCAACGAGCUUUAACCAGCACGCAUGAUAGUGGCCUUUUAACCCGGUCUUUUUAACCAAUUUUUUAAAGGUUGACCUCGGAUCAGGUAGGAAUACCCGCUGAACUUAA
Molecule: unclassified non-coding RNA, 200 nt
Filed under: soil metagenome
Description: partial contains internal transcribed spacer 2 and large subunit ribosomal RNA
Source: RNAcentral